This is a long non-coding RNA of Galeopterus variegatus (Sunda flying lemur), 707 nucleotides long. RefSeq lists it as uncharacterized. The transcript is spliced from 4 exons. The record is from RefSeq and is a predicted model, not a curated record. Lineage: Eukaryota; Metazoa; Chordata; Mammalia; Dermoptera; Cynocephalidae.
ACAGAGCGGAGUCAACGGACAUCGAUCUUCCUUCCUCCCCAGCAAGAAAACCUGAGGUAGCCGCUGGCCCUACGAGAAUCUCUUUGAUUAGUCCACCCCAAGAUGAACACAUGGGCAACGUCUCCCACUGGGGCCCUCAGCAUCUCAGCCUGACACCAAGUCGGACGAGCGUGUCCAAGGCUCUCAGGAUUCCACCACUGUACCUCCCCUACAAGGGACCGUCAGAGACUCGGACAUCCCAGCUAGCAGGCAAAGCGGGCAGGGGGAGCUCUCCCUGCCCCGGAAGCUCCCAGGCCGAGCCGCCCUCCCAGGCCCUAGCACCCAGGCAGCCGAUCAGCAUCCCGGGCCUGCUGCAGAGGCAGUGUUCAGGGAAGUGUCCCACCAACUCUGAAAAGUAAAACCUUCCCUUGGAAAAGUGCAUGUAUAAGAGAAAAUGUUUAAAUGAACGUGUGACACGAGCAGACACAGAACUUUAAAUAUUCUUGAGAAUUGUGUUUCAGAGCUUUUCAUUAGUAGUUCAGAAAUUCAGUCAUGUUCACUUUUGUAUUCAGUGUGGACUUUUAAAUUAUGACUUAAAUACGUUAAUGAUACUCUAAAAGCACUGAUGUAACUCCUGUAUUUUGAAACAUACAUGUUAAAAUGAUGAACUCUUUCCCCCAACUAACUUUUCUUAUUUGACAUUGUGUGCUCGUUUUCUUCAGCACUGU